AGAGUUUGAUCAUGGCUCAGGGUAAACGCUGGCGGCGUGCCUAAAACAUGCAAGUCGAACGCACAUCUUCGGAUGUGAGUGGCAGACGGCUGAGUAACGCGUGGGUGACGUACCUGUUGGUGGGGAAUAACUGCCCGAAAGGGUGGCUAAUUCCGCAUACGCCCUGCUCUUCGUUGAACAGGGGAAAGUUUUCUCAAGAGACGCCGAUGGAGCGGCCCGCGUCCGAUUAGCCAGUUGGUGGGGUAACGGCCUACCAAAGCGACGAUCGGUAGCUGGUCUCAGAGGAUGAUCAGCCAGACUGGGACUGAGACACGGCCCAGACUCCUACGGGAGGCAGCAGUUAGGAAUUUUGGGCAAUGGGCGCAAGCCUGACCCAGCAACGCCGCGUGGGUGACGAAGGCCUUCGGGUUGUAAAGCCCUUUUCUGAGGGAAGAUGAUGACGGUACCUCAGGAAGAAGCACCGGCUAACUACGUGCCAGCAGCCGCGGUAAUACGUAGGGUGCGAGCGUUGCCCGGAUUUAUUGGGCGUAAAGGGCGCGUAGGCGGCUCGGCACGUCCGUUGUGAAAUCGCCCGGCUCAACUGGGCGGGGUCAGCGGAUACGGUCGAGCUUGAGCAAGCUAGGGGGCAAUGGAAUUCCCGGUGUAGUGGUGGAAUGCGUAGAUAUCGGGAGGAACACCAGUGGCGAAGGCGGUUGCCUGGAGCUUUGCUGACGCUGAGGCGCGAAAGCGUGGGGAGCGAUCCGGAUUAGAUACCCUAGUAGUCC
Molecule: ribosomal RNA, 764 nt
Filed under: uncultured bacterium
Lineage: Bacteria
Description: bacterial SSU rRNA
Rfam family: Bacterial small subunit ribosomal RNA
Source: RNAcentral